This 276-nucleotide ribosomal RNA is filed under the name uncultured bacterium. RNAcentral's name for it is "partial 16S ribosomal RNA". It matches the Rfam family "Bacterial small subunit ribosomal RNA", at positions 77 to 353 of the family's 1533-position model. The record is from RNAcentral.
CAAACUGAAGAUGGCGACCGGCGCACGGGUGAGUAACACGUAUCCAACCUGCCGAUAACUCGGGGAUAGCCUUUCGAAAGAAAGAUUAAUACCCGAUGGCAUAAUAGAACCGCAUGGUUUGAUUAUUAAAGAAUUUCGGUUAUCGAUGGGGAUGCGUUCCAUUAGGCAGUUGGUGGGGUAACGGCCCACCAAACCUUCGAUGGAUAGGGGUUCUGAGAGGAAGGUCCCCCACAUUGGAACUGAGACACGGUCCAAACUCCUACGGGAGGCAGCAUG